RNAcentral lists this ribosomal RNA (428 nucleotides) under uncultured bacterium. RNAcentral describes it as "partial 16S ribosomal RNA". It matches the Rfam family "Bacterial small subunit ribosomal RNA", at positions 354 to 796 of the family's 1533-position model. The record is from RNAcentral.
GUGGGGAAUAUUGGGCAAUGGGCGCAAGCCUGACCCAGCAACGCCGCGUGAAGGAAGAAGGCUUUCGGGUUGUAAACUUCUUUGACAGGGGACGAAACAAAUGACGGUACCCUGAAAACAAGCCACGGCUAACUACGUGCCAGCAGCCGCGGUAAUACGUAGGUGGCGAGCGUUAUCCGGAUUUAUUGGGUGUAAAGGGCGUGUAGGCGGGACAGCAAGUCAGAUGUGAAAACCAGAGGCUCAACCUCUGGCCUGCAUUGGAAACUGUUGUUCUUGAGUGUCGGAGAGGUAAUCGGAAUUCCGUGUGUAGCGGUGAAAUGCGUAGAUAUACGGAGGAACACCAGUGGCGAAGGCGGAUUACUGGACGAUAACUGACGCUGAGGCGCGAAAGCGUGGGGAGCAAACAGGAUUAGAAACCCGAGUAGUCC